GUGCAAACUCGAUCACUAACUCCUCAUGAUGUUGCAGAAGUGAGGAGAAUCAAGUUUACUAGAGGAAUUGCAGUGGUACUCAUGGAUUUGCUUCAGAUCUUACAGAGGCUGCCUAUUCUAACCUGGCACAGGG
Molecule: small nucleolar RNA, 133 nt
Organism: Sorex fumeus (smoky shrew)
Lineage: Eukaryota; Metazoa; Chordata; Mammalia; Eulipotyphla; Soricidae
Source: RefSeq, a predicted model, not a curated record